Molecule: transfer RNA, 74 nt
Filed under: uncultured phage cr125_1
Lineage: Duplodnaviria; Heunggongvirae; Uroviricota; Caudoviricetes; Crassvirales; Suoliviridae
Description: tRNA-Gln
Source: RNAcentral
UGUCGCAUGGUGUAAAGGCAGCACUGGAAUCUCUAAAAUUCUAAGUUUCCGUUCGAAUCGGAAUGCGACUACCA